RNAcentral lists this unclassified non-coding RNA (794 nucleotides) under Hevea brasiliensis (rubber tree). The record is from RNAcentral. Lineage: Eukaryota; Viridiplantae; Streptophyta; Magnoliopsida; Malpighiales; Euphorbiaceae.
GUUGGCACGAGUCAAGGAAGCAAAUGAUGAAUGAAUUUGGUGGGUUGAAGAGAUCCUACUACAUGGAUCCCCAACCGAUGAAAAAUCUAGAAUGGCAUCUUUACGAGUAUGAGAUCAACAAGUAUGAUGCAUGUGCCUUGUACAGAUUGGAACUGAAACUUGUUGAUGGGAAAAAGAUCCCCAAAGGUAAGAUAAGCAAUGUAUCAGUUGCUGAUCUGCAAAAGCAAAUGGGAAGACUAACUGCUGAAUUUCCUUUGGACAACAAACGAACUGUGAAAGGCAGAGUGAAGGCCAAUAUGAAGAAUAUGGGAAACAUUCAUGCUGCUCCGGUUCCAAUUGUUCCGAUUGGUGAAGGAUUUGAUUAUGGGAAUACCGACCCUUAUGACUAUCUUCUAGACGAUCUGGAUGGCUACUUCAUAACGUAAUUCUAUACAUUCGAUGAUACUCCUUUCAAAUUCACCUUUGUAUUAUACAGCAGUUUCGUCUUGAGACUCAAAAACAUCUGGUGGUAGAAGUGUUACCCUGGCUCUGUUUAUUCAUCAGUCGGGGUCAACCAGAUGUUUCCCAUUUCCGCGGGCUUAUGGUCAAUGCUUCAUUGUCAUGUGAGACGCGGUCCUAUCUAACUGUGGAGCACACUUAACUGUACUUGUUCCCAAUCUACAUACUUAAGAACCAGAUUGACACUAAAUGUAUUUAUGUUGUAGUGUCGAAUUUGGUGACCAAAUGUUAUGGUCAUUUUCUUCAACAUCUGCUGCUUUCUAUGUGUAAUGGGGUUCCAUUACCAUGAUUUAAUA